AGAGUUUGAUCCUGGCUCAGGACGAACGCUGGCGGCGUGCUUCAUACAUGCAAGUCGAACGAGAAGCUGACUUCGGUCAGUGGAAAGUGGCGGACGGGUGAGUAAAAUGUAGGAAAUCUGCCCUAGAGAGGGGGACAACAGAGGGAAACUUCUGCUAAUACCCCAUAUGAGCGUAACUGAGAUGUUAUUCUUGAAAACUCCGGUGCUCUAGGAUGAGCCUGCAUCUGAUUAGCUAGUUGGGGGUGUAAUGGACCACCAAGGCGACGAUCAGUAGCUGGUUUGAGAGGAUGAUCAGCCACAAUGGGACUGAGACACGGCCCAUACUCCUACGGGAGGCAGCAGUAGGGAAUUUUGCGCAAUGGGGGAAACCCUGACGCAGCAACGCCGCGUGAUUGAUGAAGCCCUUCGGGGUGUAAAGAUCUGUCAGUGGGGACGAAACUUGACGGUACCCACAGAGGAAGCAUCGGCUAACUCCGUGCCAGCAGCCGCGGUAAUACGGGGGAUGCAAGCGUUGUCCGGAAUCAUUGGGCGUAAAGAGUUCGUAGGUGGCACGUUAAGUCUGGUGUUAAAUGCAGGGGCUCAACCUCUGUUCGGCACUGGAUACUGGCGAGCUUGAAUGCGGUAGAGGUAAAGGGAAUUCCUGGUGUAGCGGUGAAAUGCGUAGAUAUCAGGAGGAACAUCGGUGGCGUAAGCGCUUUACUGGGCCGUAAUUGACACUGAGGAACGAAAGCCAGGGUAGCAAAUGGGAUUAGAUACCCCAGUAGUCCUGGCCGUAAACGAUGGAUACUAGGUGUUGCGGGUAUCGACCCCUGCAGUGCCGAAGCCAACGCGAUAAGUAUCCCGCCUGGGGAGUACGCACGCAAGUGUGAAACUCAAAGGAAUUGAC
This 886-nucleotide ribosomal RNA is filed under the name uncultured bacterium. RNAcentral's name for it is "bacterial SSU rRNA". It matches the Rfam family "Bacterial small subunit ribosomal RNA", at positions 8 to 914 of the family's 1533-position model. The record is from RNAcentral.